RNAcentral lists this transfer RNA (89 nucleotides) under Phycisphaerales bacterium. RNAcentral's name for it is "tRNA-Ser". It matches the Rfam family "tRNA". Rfam says of the family: Transfer RNA (tRNA) molecules are approximately 80 nucleotides in length. The record is from RNAcentral. Lineage: Bacteria; Pseudomonadati; Planctomycetota; Phycisphaerae; Phycisphaerales.
GGAGAGGUGUCGGAGUGGCUUAUCGAGCCGGUUUCGAAAACCGGUGUGCUCCCUUAGGAGUACCGGGGGUUCGAAUCCCCCCCUCUCCG